This 293-nucleotide unclassified non-coding RNA is filed under the name plant metagenome. Its description in RNAcentral is "partial contains small subunit ribosomal RNA, internal transcribed spacer 1, and 5.8S ribosomal RNA". The record is from RNAcentral.
UUUCCGUAGGUGAACCUGCGGAAGGAUCAUUGUAGGAUUGUUUUGGGAGGGGUGGUUGUGAUUUGUGGGGAUUGUGUGUGGUUGUUUGGAUUGCUUGGAUUGCCUGGAUUGCCUGGCUGUCUGCAACUCGACUCGUCUCAUCACAACCACUCUUUACAUUGGCACAGACCAGUGGUCUGGUGUUUGGAGCCACAGACCACUGGUGUCUGAUGUUUGCGCUUGCUCGUUUGACAGAAACAAUACCAUAUCAUAUUAUCAUUGCAAAACUUUUAACAAUGGAUCUCUUGGCUCUU